Molecule: ribosomal RNA, 301 nt
Filed under: uncultured bacterium
Lineage: Bacteria
Description: partial 16S ribosomal RNA
Rfam family: Bacterial small subunit ribosomal RNA
Source: RNAcentral
CAGUAGCCACGGUAGACAGAGGAUGCAAGCGUUAUCCGGAAUGAUUGGGCGUAAAGCGUGCGCAGGCGGUUAUAUAAGUCAGAUGUGAAAUCCCCGGGCUCAACCUGGGAACUGCAUUUGAGACUGUAUGGCUAGAGUGUGUCAGAGGGGGGUAGAAUUCCACGUGUAGCAGUGAAAUGCGUAGAUAUGUGGAGGAACACCGAUGGCGAAGGCAGCCCCCUGGGCCAAUACUGACGCUCAUGCACGAAAGCGUGGGGAGCAAACAGGAUUAGAUACCCCGGUAGUCCCUGUCUCUUAUACA